UUUAUGUAGGAAAAGAGCACCACAGAAGCUAUGCCGAUUCCAACUAUUGAACGCUGUAGAUCACAGAGGCUACAGAGUAAUGAGCUGCCUGAUGCAUCUUCACCUGUACCAACUAGUAGAGUACGGGUCACUAAAAAUUCUAUUCGACUCACGUUAAACCGGUAAUUCCACUAUUAUGGAAGACUGAAGCAAUAACUGAGCAGCUCACAAGGUAUUUUGUGGACAAUGCCUGCAUUGCUGCCUAUACAUACUGGUUUGUAUGAAUUGUGGCAGAAUGAACCUUCUCCUGUUUCCAGUCCAAAGCUGUGUACUGCCAACACUUUCUGCACACAAUUUUAUAGACUUUUUAAAAUCCCAUUUUUCAUUUUUUUUUUUUCUUUGCAAA
Nanorana parkeri is the source of this 385-nucleotide long non-coding RNA. RefSeq lists it as uncharacterized. Lineage: Eukaryota; Metazoa; Chordata; Amphibia; Anura; Dicroglossidae. The transcript has 2 exons. The record is from RefSeq and is a predicted model, not a curated record.